Long non-coding RNA from Patiria miniata (bat star), 1034 nucleotides. RefSeq lists it as uncharacterized. The record is from RefSeq and is a predicted model, not a curated record. The transcript is spliced from 7 exons. Lineage: Eukaryota; Metazoa; Echinodermata; Asteroidea; Valvatida; Asterinidae.
UUUGUGUGCAUGCUUUUUAGAAAAACGAGAAUGCCGCACAGGCUAGCACUGUCCACUGUCACCUGCUGUGAUUUACUUGACUGCGGUUGAACACUUCAAAUGAUCAAGACAUCGCAGUACAUAAUCUUCAGUGAAGAUGCGUUUCUGUUGUACAGAAACCAAGUCAGAAGCUGUUACCACAUACAUGUACGUGAAGAAAGCAUCCUAUUUUGAAAGCAGGGAUAUUUAGCCAGUGUUGAUCAGCUGUGACAAUGAUGGACCUAGCUGUAAAAAGAUAGACCUUAUGUCUUUCAAAUGAGAGGAAGAGCCUGCAAAAGUGCAAAUGGGUCCGAGUCAUCUCCUGAUCAGUUCUCCAAUUGAAUACUGCUGUCUGAAUGUGUUCACAGAAUGAAUGCGAACCACGGCCCUUGCACCAGGAUCUUGCAAAUACGUGAAACUGCCAAUUUCAACCAUUUCACCUGUGGAUAUUGGAUUAUGAAGGUCAAAGUUUGCUGGAGAAAUUCACCCAAUACAAAUUUUCAGAUCCAACAACUAAGAAACACUCUCUUGACGGUGGACACGUCAACCUUCACAAAUGACAAGGAGCAAAUUAUUUCGUUUUCUUUCGUUUUAUUUCUUUCAAUAUCUUUUAAAUCACUUUUAUCAACAUGAAUUUGUUUCGGAACAAUUACCCUUCUGGCAUCUAACAGUCCGUUUACCAUGGCAUCAAUAAGUUGGUUAUUGAAUUAAAAAAAAAAAAAUUGCGAAAAAAAAAGAUUACAAAAACUUAAUAGUAUGGUAACAAUUUGAAACAUGAUUUUAAGUACAGCACGACUAUUUUUUAAGUUGAUGGCCAAAUUUGGGGUAGAAAACACCCGAUAUAAAAAGGUUGCUAUGCAUAAUGUGCAGUGAUCAUGCAACUCGUUAAAAAAUUUACAGCACACAGUAAGUACGUUUUGGAGAUUAAUGAGAAAAGUAAAAGAAAUUCUAUACAAUUUACAACCUUCUGGCUUGAUCAGUGCAAGUUUAAAGUUUCGUAUUAACAAAUUCUUUUA